RNAcentral lists this ribosomal RNA (253 nucleotides) under uncultured bacterium. Its description in RNAcentral is "partial 16S ribosomal RNA". It matches the Rfam family "Bacterial small subunit ribosomal RNA", at positions 524 to 776 of the family's 1533-position model. The record is from RNAcentral.
UACGUAGGGUGCGAGCGUUAAUCGGAAUUACUGGGCGUAAAGCGUGCGCAGGCGGUUCGUUAAGUCAGCUGUGAAAGCCCCGGGCUCAACCUGGGAACUGCAUUUGAAACUGGCGGGCUUGAGUAUGGCAGAGGGGGGUGGAAUUCCGCGUGUAGCAGUGAAAUGCGUAGAUAUCAGGAAGAACACCCGUGGCUAAGGCGGUUCUCUAGUACGGUACUGACGCUGAGACGCGAAAGCGUGGGGAGCGAACAGG